RNAcentral lists this ribosomal RNA (302 nucleotides) under Candidatus Regiella insecticola. RNAcentral describes it as "partial 23S ribosomal RNA". It matches the Rfam family "Eukaryotic large subunit ribosomal RNA", at positions 2171 to 2472 of the family's 3401-position model. The record is from RNAcentral. Lineage: Bacteria; Pseudomonadati; Pseudomonadota; Gammaproteobacteria; Enterobacterales; Enterobacteriaceae.
GAAAGUAGUGUUAACGCAAUGUGAUUUCUGCCUAGUGCUCUGAAUGUCAAAGCGAAGAGAUUUAACUAAGCGCAGGUAAACAGCAGGAGUAACUAUAACUCUCUUAAGGUAGCUAAAUACCUUGUUAUCUAAUUAGUAACGCGCAUAAAUAGAUUAACAAGAUUCCUACUAUCCCUAUCUACUAUCUAGCAAAACUACAGCUAAGGGAACAGGCUUAGCUAAAUUAGCGGGGAAAGAAGACCCUGUUAAGCUUAACUCUAGUUUAACAUUGUAAAAAGACAUAGGGGGUGUAGAAUAGGUAG